ACGGAAUAGAUACCCAGGUAGUCCUGGCAGUAAACGGUGCGCGUUUGGUGUGGGGGGAUUCGACAAUCUCCGCGCCGGAGCUAAACGCGUUAAACGCGCCGCCUGGGAAAUACGGUCGCAAGAUUAAAACUCAAAGAAAUUGACGGGGGCCCGCACAAGCGGUGGAGUAUGUGGCUUAAUUCGAUGCAACGCGAAGAACCUUACCUGGGCUUGACAUGCAUCGCUAAGGCGGUGAAAGCCGCCGAGGGUAGCAAUACCUACUUUGCACAGGUGCUGCAUGGCUGUCGUCAGCUCGUGUCGUGAGAUGUUGGGUUAAGUCCCGCAACGAGCGCAACCCUUAUGAACUGUUGCAGCGACGCAAGUCGCGCUCUCUGUUCAGACCGCCCUGUGAAACGGGGAGGAAGGUGGGGAUGACGUCAAGUCAGCAUGGCCCUUACGCCCAGGGCUGCACACGUACUACAAUGCCCAGUACAGAGGGAGCCAAGCCGGCGACGGCAAGGAAAUCCCAAAAACUGGGCUCAGUUCAGAUUGC
Molecule: ribosomal RNA, 532 nt
Filed under: uncultured bacterium
Lineage: Bacteria
Description: bacterial SSU rRNA
Rfam family: Bacterial small subunit ribosomal RNA
Source: RNAcentral